CCUACGGGAGGCAGCAGUGAGGAAUAUUGGUCAAUGGACGAGAGUCUGAACCAGCCAAGUAGCGUGAAGGAUGACUGCCCUAUGGGUUGUAAACUUCUUUUAUAUGGGAAUAAAACGUUCCACGUGUGGGAUUUUGUAUGUACCAUAUGAAUAAGGAUCGGCUAACUCCGUGCCAGCAGCCGCGGUAAUACGGAGGAUCCGAGCGUUAUCCGGAUUUAUUGGGUUUAAAGGGAGCGUAGGUGGGUUGUUAAGUCAGUUGUGAAAGUUUGCGGCUCAACCGUAAAAUUGCAGUUGAAACUGGCAGUCUUGAGUACAGUAGAGGUGGGCGGAAUUCGUGGUGUAGCGGUGAAAUGCUUAGAUAUCACGAAGAACUCCGAUUGCGAAGGCAGUUCACUGGACUGCAACUGACACUGAUGCUCGAAAGUGUGGGUAUCAAACAGGAUUAGAUACCCUUGUAGUC
RNAcentral lists this ribosomal RNA (460 nucleotides) under uncultured bacterium. Its description in RNAcentral is "partial 16S ribosomal RNA". It matches the Rfam family "Bacterial small subunit ribosomal RNA", at positions 338 to 795 of the family's 1533-position model. The record is from RNAcentral.